This 670-nucleotide long non-coding RNA is filed under the name Olea europaea (common olive). RNAcentral describes it as "long non-coding RNA (OEUR_LNC003604)". Lineage: Eukaryota; Viridiplantae; Streptophyta; Magnoliopsida; Lamiales; Oleaceae. The record is from RNAcentral.
AUUUAAAUACAUAAUGGUCACAGAAACAUAAUUAUAAAUCAUAAUUUAUUUAUUGAUCACAUAUUAUCAAAUUUAUUGGUCACGAAUUAUGUCGAGAUUACAAAUCAAAAAAUUCACACGUCACGGUUUAAUUUUAUAAGUCACACUUUAUGUCAUUGGUCACAAAUCAAAAAAAUUAUAGGUUACAGUUAAUCUGUUAGUCAUAUAUUUUCAAAUUUGUUGGUCACAUCUUAUAUUUUUAGUCACGGAUUAUCAAAUUUUAAAGUCACAGUUUUAUAAAUGGUCACACGGAAUCAAAUAUUUAGUCACAUACACCAAAUACCCAACCCCAAUUUCUAUCUAGAGUCAAUACUUGGUCACAAGCACUACACACCCUGCCACAACACCAACAAAAACAUCGCCAACACCACCACCGCCACUGCCAUUACGGCCACUUGCGACCACCCUCACCCCGCCACCACCACAGCUACUUCCAUCAGCUCUCCACAUACAAUUGCCUUCCGCACUAACAGAAACGCAUCGCUACCUCCAACAUAUUUUAUCAUCAUGCGAACUGGGCGUCGAAGGCACAAGGCAAUCUUGGAAAAUUGGAUGACAAAUGGUUAGGUCUUGUCAUGCUAUGCGAACUCAAAUCGCCGUGCGAAUUGUGCUAUCAUGCUGUAGACCGUUG